CGGACGGGUGAGUAAUGUCUGGGAAACUGCCCGAUGGAGGGGGAUAACUACUGGAAACGGUAGCUAAUACCGCAUAACGUCGCAAGACCAAAGAGGGGACCUUAGGGCCUCUUGCCAUCGGAUGUGCCCAGAUGGGAUUAGCUAGUAGGUGGGGUAACGGCUCACCUAGGCGACGAUCCCUAGCUGGUCUGAGAGGAUGACCAGUCACACUGGAACUGAGACACGGUCCAG
Molecule: ribosomal RNA, 231 nt
Filed under: uncultured bacterium
Lineage: Bacteria
Description: partial 16S ribosomal RNA
Rfam family: Bacterial small subunit ribosomal RNA
Source: RNAcentral